RNAcentral lists this ribosomal RNA (494 nucleotides) under uncultured bacterium. RNAcentral describes it as "partial 16S ribosomal RNA". It matches the Rfam family "Bacterial small subunit ribosomal RNA", at positions 28 to 507 of the family's 1533-position model. The record is from RNAcentral.
GACGAACGCUGGCGGCGUGCUUAACACAUGCAAGUCGAACGGUGAAGCGCCUUCCUUUUUGGUGGGUGUGGUUGAGUGGCGAACGGUUGAGUAACACGUGAGUAACCUGCCCCCUUCUUCUGGAUAACCGCAUGAAAGUUUGGCUAAUACGGGAUAUUCUGGUUCUUUCGCAUGAUUGGUCUGGGAAAGAUAUUGUUUCGGUGGGGGAUGGUCUCGCGGCCUAUCAGGUUGUUGGUGGGGUGAUGGCCUACCAAGGCGGUGGCGGGUAGCCGGCAUGGUAGGGUGGACGGUCAGACUGGGACAGAGACAAGGCCAAGACUCCUACGGGAGGCAGCAGUGGAGAAUAUUGCACAAUGGGGGAAAGGCUGAUGCAGCGACGCCGCGUGAGGGAUGGAGGCCUUCGGGUUGUGAACCUCUUUCGCCAGUGAAGCAGGCCUGCCUCGUUUGUGGGUGGGUUGACGGUAGCUGGAUAAGAAGCGCCGGCUAACUACGUG